AACCUGGGAACUGCAUUCGAAACUGGCAGGCUAGAGUCUUGUAGAGGGGGGUAGAAUUCCAGGUGUAGCGGUGAAAUGCGUAGAGAUCUGGAGGAAUACCGGUGGCGAAGGCGGCCCCCUGGACAAAGACUGACGCUCAGGUGCGAAAGCGUGGGGAGCAAACAGGAUUAGAUACCCUGGUAGUCCACGCCGUAAACGAUGUCGAUUUGGAGGUUGUGCCCUUGAGGCGUGGCUUCCGGAGCUAACGCGUUAAAUCGACCGCCUGGGGAGUACGGCCGCAAGGUUAAAACUCAAAUGAAUUGACGGGGGCCCGCACAAGCGGUGGAGCAUGUGGUUUAAUUCGAUGCAACGCGAAGAACCUUACCUGGUCUUGACAUCCACAGAACUUUCCAGAGAUGGAUUGGUGCCUUCGGGAACUGUGAGACAGGUGCUGCAUGGCUGUCGUCAGCUCGUGUUGUGAAAUGUUGGGUUAAGUCCCGCAACGAGCGCAACCCUUAUCCUUUGUUGCCAGCGGU
RNAcentral lists this ribosomal RNA (515 nucleotides) under Klebsiella pneumoniae. RNAcentral's name for it is "bacterial SSU rRNA". It matches the Rfam family "Bacterial small subunit ribosomal RNA", at positions 611 to 1125 of the family's 1533-position model. RNAcentral also lists the same sequence under 2 other names. Lineage: Bacteria; Pseudomonadati; Pseudomonadota; Gammaproteobacteria; Enterobacterales; Enterobacteriaceae. The record is from RNAcentral.